This 333-nucleotide long non-coding RNA is filed under the name Gallus gallus (chicken). The record is from RNAcentral. Lineage: Eukaryota; Metazoa; Chordata; Aves; Galliformes; Phasianidae.
GGAGGUUGCUGCGGGAGCCGCUCCCGGUCGCCGGACCGGUCGGCCCGGCCCCUGCGGGCGCCGAGCGACACGGUCGUUCGGCGGCGGCGGCUGGGGACCGUGGCAGGAGCGGCUCGGGCUCGCCGGACCGGUGGUCCCGGCCCCGUCCGACUCGGUCGCUUCGCGGAGGUGGCUGGAGGUCGCUGCCGUGGCGGCUGGGGCACGGCGGAACGGUCUACCCGGCUCCGGCGGGCUGCGUCCGCCUCGGUCGCUGCCGUGGCGGCUGCUAGGGGUCGCUGCCGGGGUGGCUGGGGCACGGCGGAACGGUCUACCCGGGUCCGGCGGGCCCCGUCC